Molecule: ribosomal RNA, 177 nt
Filed under: uncultured beta proteobacterium
Lineage: Bacteria; Pseudomonadati; Pseudomonadota; Betaproteobacteria
Description: partial 16S ribosomal RNA
Rfam family: Bacterial small subunit ribosomal RNA
Source: RNAcentral
ACUCCUACGGGAGGCAGCAGUGGGGAAUUUUGGACAAUGGGCGCAAGCCUGAUCCAGCAAUGCCGCGUGCAGGAUNAAGGCCUUCGGGUUGUAAACUGCUUUUGUACGGAACGAAAAGCCCUGGGUUAAUACCCUGGGGUCAUGACGGUACCGUAAGAAUAAGCACCGGCUAACUCC